This 427-nucleotide ribosomal RNA is filed under the name uncultured bacterium. Its description in RNAcentral is "partial 16S ribosomal RNA". It matches the Rfam family "Bacterial small subunit ribosomal RNA", at positions 355 to 774 of the family's 1533-position model. The record is from RNAcentral.
UGGGGAAUUUUGGACAAUGGGCGCAAGCCUGAUCCAGCCAUGCCGCGUGUCUGAAGAAGGCCUUCGGGUUGUAAAGGACUUUUGUCAGGGAAGAAAAGGGCGGGGUUAAUACCCCUGUCUGAUGACGGUACCUGAAGAAUAAGCACCGGCUAACUACGUGCCAGCAGCCGCGGUAAUACGUAGGGUGCGAGCGUUAAUCGGAAUUACUUGGCGUAAAGCGGGCGCAGACGGUUACUUAAGCAGGAUGUGAAAUCCCCGGGCUCAACCUGGGAACUGCGUUCUGAACUGGGUGACUAGAGUGUGUCAGAGGGAGGUAGAAUUCCACGUGUAGCAGUGAAAUGCGUAGAGAUGUGGAGGAAUACCGAUGGCGAAGGCAGCCUCCUGGGAUAACACUGACGUUCAUGCCCGAAAGCGUGGGUAGCAAACA